UCCAACAGCGUGCCGCACGCCGACGCGCCCUUCUCCGUUCUCGACCUGCGACCCGGCACGCGCUACCUGCUGCGCCUCACCGCGCACAACAGCGCCGGCUCCACCGUCGCCCUCUACGACUUCGUCACGCUCGAUGACGAGACAGGUGUCGUCGCGCCAGAGCUAAUUGUGCAGGCUGGCUGGAGGAACGGCCAUUUCUGGAGAAAUCCCGCCAUCAUUGUUACUCUUAUAGCUGUCCUCGUGGCUUUUAUCGUCGCUGGAGUGGUGCUCUUCUCAUACUUACGCAGGAAACGAGAGAGGUUCCCAGCAGGAAGGAAAGAGUCAGCGUCGGCAGAGGGGGAGGAGGUGGCGGGCCUGGGGGAGAAGGCGAGCUACGUGAGCGGGAACGGCGUGCUGUCGCGCCACUGCCGCAGCCACAGCGAC
Schistocerca serialis cubense is the source of this 423-nucleotide long non-coding RNA. RefSeq lists it as uncharacterized. NCBI's taxonomy places the organism in Eukaryota, Metazoa, Arthropoda, Insecta, Orthoptera, Acrididae. The transcript has 3 exons. The record is from RefSeq and is a predicted model, not a curated record.